RNAcentral lists this long non-coding RNA (218 nucleotides) under Nicotiana benthamiana. RNAcentral describes it as "long non-coding RNA (NBEN_LNC014883)". The record is from RNAcentral. Lineage: Eukaryota; Viridiplantae; Streptophyta; Magnoliopsida; Solanales; Solanaceae.
UGAUCGUAGAAGAACUUCGGGAUAUGUCUUUGCUUUGGGAUCAAAAAUAAUCUCUUGGUCAUCAAAGUAACAACAAACCGUGGCAUUAUCUUCAGCGGAAGCAGAGUACAUCUCAGCUGCUAAUGCGGCAUGUGAAGCAGUGUGGCUUAGAAGAAUACUCCUUAACUUGGAGCAAGGACAAGAUGGGCAUACAACAAUUUAUUGUGACAACAUGUCGG